AGGCAACAGAGCGGAAGGUGGCUACAGGAUUUGCAAUACCACGACCGGCAAUAUCAGGGGCAGAGCCAUGAACGGGUUCCGACAUAACAAAGUUAUCACCAACAUUAGCAGAAGGAACCAAACCAAGGGAUCCGAUCAAGGAGGCAGCACCAUCUGAAAGAAUGUCACCGUACAAGUUAGGGGCAACGACAACAUCAAAACAUUCAGGUUCGCGGAAAAGACGGUAAACCAUCGAGUCGACAAUCUGCUCGUCAACAUUGAUGGAAGCGUAAGAAGGAUCCAAAGACUGAGCAUGGCGACAGGACUCACGGAAAAGUCCAUCAGUUACAGACAUGACAUUGGAUUUAUGAAUGAUAGUAACCAAAGGCUUCUUGUGAAUAGAAUAAGUACCAGAUUCACGUAUCUUUUGGCGAGACUUGGCAAUUUCAAAAGCCAUCUUUCCAAUUUUAGUGGAGGCUUCUUCGCUAAUACGACGAAUGGCUUCAGCGACACGCUUGCCAGGAGUGUUUUGUACCAUUCUUUCCUCCUUGACGUACAAACAUUCGGUGUUUUCACGAACAAUAACAAGGUCAACGGGUUUACCCUUGGCACCAUCGAGUGAUUUUACAGGGCGAACAUUGGCGUACAAUCCCAUCUUUUUGCGCAAAGCGACAAUUGGUGAAGAAUAUCCAGCGACUUUAUGAGUGGGACUCUGAACAGCUCCGAACAAAGCAGCAUUACACUCAGUUUUAAGUCUUUCUACAGUACGUUCAGGAAGAGCUUUUCCAGUACGUUCAAAGGUACCCCAUCCAGCAUCCAAAUCAAUGAAAUCGAACUUAAGCUUGUGCUUCGCAGGUAAAUUUUCCAUCAAACGACGAGCAGCGGGAACGACUUCCUUUCCAAUUCCAUCAGCAGGAAUGAGACCCAAAACAAUUCUGCGAGUAGCCGACAUGGUAUUCGUUCUACGAUAAGGUAAAAAUACGCCAAUAGACCUUGUUGGUUGGUAACAGUUAGAGAUCAACAAUAUCAUCAGAAGAUCAUUUACCAGUUAACGAAUGUAUUUUAAAAAUUCGUUAUUCUAGUCACCGAUUCUCUAGAGCGCAUUGAGACAAUUUAACGACACAUUCCGUCUCACUAGUUACACUAAGGGUUGGGACUUUUAUUUACACUAUUAUGCUAGGUUUUUUUCUGUAAGCGGAAAGAAACCGGGGGAUUUUUGAUACAUAUACAAGUUGUACGCGUUACAUAGGUGAAAAACAUUACAAAGAAGUAUACAAAAAGAUAAACGAAAAGGAAUUUAAGACCCAUACAAAAUUUUAAUGGAUUAAAGUAAUUUAGAAUUUUCCAAAUUGCUUGGGACCCUCAGUGUGCUUAACGACACGAAGAACGUUGAAGCGGACGGUCUUACUCAAAGGACGGCAUUGACCGACAGUGACAACAUCACCCUCGUUAAUACGGAAAGCAGGAGAGACGUGGGCAGCCAAGUUCUUGUGGCGCUUCUCAUAACGAUUGUACUUGGGAAUGAAAUGCAAGUACUCACGACGGAUAAUGAUGGUACGGUGCAUCUUGGUGGAAACAACGGUACCGGUCAAGAUACGGCCACGGAUAGAGACUUGACCAACGAAAGGGCACUUCUUGUCAACAUACUCACCGUAGAUAGCUUCAGCAGGGGUUUUGAAUCCCAAACCGACAUCCUUAUACCAACGACGGCCAGCGCCCUUCUUGGCGUUUUGGAAGAUAUGAGGUUGCUUUUGGAAUGCACGCUCACUUUGCACGACAAGUUCUGUGGCCAUCUUGUGUUGCUGUAGAAAAGACAGCUCAGUGUAGGAAGUAAACCAAAAGUUUUGAGACGUGACUGUUUCUUUGUAGGGUAGGGUUUUGUCCUCUUUGCCUGGAAUAGUGAGUAACACCGUUGAUUGCUUAAACGAAGAAUUGUAUACUUGAUAAAAGAAUAAUUUCUGACUAAACGAUAUUCGUUAUAAUAAUGAGUGAACUUUACGACUUAAUACACGUAUUGUAUUAUCAAGUAAAACCCCAUUUCUUCAGAGACAAUAUAAUUACAUAAAAUAAUUUGCUUGACACAAUAAAAAG
RNAcentral lists this long non-coding RNA (2070 nucleotides) under Schizosaccharomyces pombe (fission yeast). The record is from RNAcentral. Lineage: Eukaryota; Fungi; Ascomycota; Schizosaccharomycetes; Schizosaccharomycetales; Schizosaccharomycetaceae.